UGAUACCAUGAUCCCGAGAGACGGGAAAA
RNAcentral lists this non-coding RNA (29 nucleotides) under Rattus norvegicus (Norway rat). The record is from RNAcentral. Lineage: Eukaryota; Metazoa; Chordata; Mammalia; Rodentia; Muridae.